UGGCAAAGAGUCAAAGCUACUUCUGAGAAGAUGUUUGUGCAAGUCAAACCGUUUUGUUGCCAAUUAGCUAGCCAAAAACAACAAACAAUUAAUAAUACCCCCACAUUAAACAAUCAAAUCAUUUUACCCAAGUAUGUGCGACAGAAAAAUAAGUGCGAUAGAAAAAGUACCGUAAGGGAAAGCUGAAAAAGAAGUGAAAUAAAUCAGUCAAGCAAAAAAAAGCAGAGACUACACCUCGUACCUUUUGCAUCAUGAAUUAGUAAGACACCCCAAGCAAAACGACCUAUGUUUGACCCCCCGAAACUAAGUGAGCUACUCCGAGACAGCCUAGGGCACACCCGUCUCUGUGGCAAAAGAGUGGGAAGAGCUCCGAGUAGAGGUGAUAGAUCUACCGAACUUAGUUAUAGCUGGUUGCCUGAGAACUGAAUAUAAGUUCAGCCUCCCGGCUUCUCCACAAGUCACUAAAGAAUUGAGUUAAAGGAGGAACAGCUCCUUUAACAUAAGACACAAUAC
RNAcentral lists this ribosomal RNA (513 nucleotides) under Monopterus albus (swamp eel). RNAcentral describes it as "partial 16S ribosomal RNA". It matches the Rfam family "Bacterial large subunit ribosomal RNA", at positions 15 to 1028 of the family's 2925-position model. Lineage: Eukaryota; Metazoa; Chordata; Actinopteri; Synbranchiformes; Synbranchidae. The record is from RNAcentral.